GAAGGGACCUAGCGUAGUUCGGAAUUACUGGGCUUAAAGAGUUCGUAGGUGGUUAAAAAAGUUGGUGGUGAAAUCCCUGAGCUUAACUCAGGAACUGCCAUCAAAACUUUUUAGCUAGAGUGUGAUAGAGGAAAGCAGAAUUUCUAGUGUAGAGGUGAAAUUCGUAGAUAUUAGAAAGAAUACCAAUUGCGAAGGCAGCUUUCUGGACCAUUACUGACACUGAGGAACGAAAGCAUGGGUAGCGAAGAGGAUUAGAUACCCUCGUAGUCCAUGCCGUAAACGAUGUGUGCUAGACGUUGGAAAUUUAUUUUCAGUGUCGCAGCAAAAGCAUUAAGCACACCGCCUGGGGAGUACGACCGCAAGGUUAAAACUCAAAUGAAUUGACGGGGACCCGCACAAGCAGUGGAGCAUGUGGUUUAAUUCGAAGAUACGCGCAGAACCUUACCAACACUUGACAUGUUCGUCGCGACUUUAAGAGAUUAAAGUCUUCGGUUCGGCCGGACGAAACACAGGUGCUGCAUGGCUGUCGUCAGCUCGUGUCGUGAGAUGUUGGGUUAAGUCCCGCAACGAGCGCAACCCUUACUUUUAGUUGCCACCAUUUAGUUGAGCACUCUGAAAGAACUGCCAGUGAUAAGCUGGAGGAAGGUGGGGAUGACGUCAAGUCCUCAUGGCCCUUAUGUGUUGGGCUACACACGUGCUACAAUGGCACUCACAAUAGGAAGCAAAGAUGUGAGUCUAAGCAAAUCCUAAAAAAGUGCCUCAGUUCGGAUUGUACUCUGCAACUCGAGUACAUGAAGCUGGAAUUGCUAGUAAUCGCGGAUCAGCGCGCCGCGGUGAAUACGUUCCCGGGUCUU
This 854-nucleotide ribosomal RNA is filed under the name uncultured organism. Its description in RNAcentral is "bacterial SSU rRNA". It matches the Rfam family "Bacterial small subunit ribosomal RNA", at positions 527 to 1382 of the family's 1533-position model. The record is from RNAcentral.